Molecule: ribosomal RNA, 253 nt
Filed under: uncultured bacterium
Lineage: Bacteria
Description: partial 16S ribosomal RNA
Rfam family: Bacterial small subunit ribosomal RNA
Source: RNAcentral
UACGUAGGUGGCAAGCGUUACUCGGAAUUACUGGGCGUAAAGGGUGAGUAGGCGGCUGGGCAAGUCAAGGAUGAAAGCCCGAGGCUCAACUUCGGAAUUGUCCUUGAAACUGCUCAGCUUGAGGGUAGUUGAGGAGAGUGGAAUUCCCGGUGGAGCGGUGAAAUGCGUAGAUAUCGGGAGGAACACAUGAGGCGAAGGCGGCUCUCUAAGCUAUUCCUGACGCUGAAUCACGAAAGCUAGGGGAUCAAACGGG